This is a long non-coding RNA of Carassius auratus (goldfish), 2042 nucleotides long. RefSeq lists it as uncharacterized. The record is from RefSeq and is a predicted model, not a curated record. The transcript is spliced from 7 exons. NCBI's taxonomy places the organism in Eukaryota, Metazoa, Chordata, Actinopteri, Cypriniformes, Cyprinidae.
CACGGCAGGAAUAUUUUAUCAGAUUAUUUUACGAUAAUCGGAGCAUCCUAAGAUUGUCGGAAGGGGUGAAUCGGGGCUAAAAUCGGCCUAAUUAUCCUGCCGUGUGAACCAGCCUUAAUCAAGUUGUUCAGGAUCACUACAAACCUCCAGGCAGGUGUGUUGAAUCAGGUUGGAGUUAAACCAACCAUCUAACCCUCCAGGAGCGGAAUUAGGCUGCUUUCACACUGGGCUUGUUUGCUGCGGUCCUAGCCCGAGCGCGAUUGUUUCCGGCGACCCCCGCAGCUUAUUACGUCAUCACAAACGUGCAUGACGCAUGAUAGAAAACAGAACGUGGGUCAAUAUAUAUAUAUAUAUUUUUUUUAAUAUGAUAUUACUAUCAUCCCUUACAUGUAUUAUAUGUAACUAAAUGCAUCAUAAUAAGCUUUAAACGCAUGCGCAGGUCACAUUACUUCCUGAACAAGUGCGCACCCGAGUCCGUGUUGCCUUCACAUUCACCCGAACCGCGGCACGGUUCGAGUGCAACCGAACAAAGACCACUUCCUCCAGGUAGCCAAGACUACCCUGCUGAAAAAAACAAUAGAAACCAUUACAGAAUUUGUAAUGGUUUUAAUGGUUCUUAUUGGAAUUCUAAUGGUUUUAAUGGACACUGUAAUGGUCUCUGUGGGUCUCUAUUGGUACUUUGCUUUUUUCUAUUGGUGGCGUGUAUUGUCUAUUGGAUACCAUUAAGGACCAAUAGAACACCUUUAGAAACUUCUGGUAUCUACUGGACACCAGUAGAAACCAUUAUGACUCCAAUAAAUUUAGUGGUUUCUUUGGAAAACUGUAAUGGUCUUAGUGGGUAGGCUACUGCUGAAAAAAAAAAUGAACACACAAACAAUAGAAACUAUUACAAAAUUUGUAAUGGUUUUAAUGGUUAUAAUGGGAAUUAUGUUGGUUGUAAUGGUCACAGUAAUGGUCCCUGUGGGUCUCUAUUGGUAAAUUGCUUUUUUCUAUUGGUGGUAUGUAUUGUCUUGGAUUGCCACCAUACGUCAUUUGGAAAGGUUAUUUUUAAUUCAUUUUUUUUUUUAUUUAUUUAUUUAUUUAUUUUUAAAUCAACUCGACUCGUCAUGGCCUUCAAAAUUGACUUGAAAAGUUGGUCUUUGUUUUGUCUGUCGGAUUUGGUCCAAAUUUAGCCCAAAAAUAGAUGUGAAAUAACAGUGAAAUUCUGCGUGACUUCCACAUGCUGUAAUGUGCGCGCGCGCAGAACUGGAGCGGAGGACGUCACCAUGGAAACGAGGCGGCAGCCCAACCGUCAAGCAGCUGAUCGCUGACACUCAAUGUGGUUUCACUUUUUUUUUUAGAAAUGGUUUAGCGUCGUCAGAAAAAGUCCGUUAGCAUCUCAAAGAAGUGCCAGAAAAAAACCUCUAUGACGCAGGAGAAGUUCCUGAUUUUAACAUUUCUGAAGGGGGCUGCUGACAGAGAGGAUGAAAACAUACACAUUUUGAUGUCCACGCUGUAGGAGCAUUACUAAAUAAUGCUUAUGUUCCUAGGUUCUUCCAUGCUGAUGGCUGUGCUCUAGAGUCAUAUCUCCUGUCGAAGAACAUUUUUAGACAUUAUGAACCAUGAAUAAGUUUAGCUCCAACCCCAGUUAAGCAGACCUGAGCAGCUGAUCAAGGAUCAGCAGAAACUUAGUGUCUGUCUCAGAAGCUGAAGAAAAAAGGCCACACCUUAUAGGAAAUAAACGCCUCCUAAGUGUAUGGAAAUACCUGGCUGAGGAGAUCAGUGACAUAAACCAGAUAAAACUGUCAGUGGUCUGAGACAGCUACAAGCCACAAAAACAGUUCAUAGUUCCUGCAUUUCUAUAAUGCAUUAAUGAAUAACAAUAAUUAAAAUAAAAUGUAAUGUCAAGGUUUUGUGUUAAUUCCAGCUAUGUUGAGUAUUCUGUGAAUAAUUUUGAUUUUAGGUGCAUAUUCUUAAUUCUUUGCAAAACAACCUGAACUGUUUGCUAUUGAAAGGUUGGUAUGAAGUUUAAAUAAAUAAAAACAUUAUAUUCUUGACAAAAC